GUUGUACUUCCUCCGUUCGGAAAAACUUGUCCCAAUCUUGUUUUUUAAAUGGAUGUAUCUAGCAUUAAUUUGAUGCUAGAUACAUUUGUUUGAGGGACAAAUUUUUUCGGACGGAGGGAGUAUGAA
Molecule: non-coding RNA, 126 nt
Organism: Triticum urartu
Lineage: Eukaryota; Viridiplantae; Streptophyta; Magnoliopsida; Poales; Poaceae
Source: Rfam